Molecule: ribosomal RNA, 440 nt
Filed under: uncultured bacterium
Lineage: Bacteria
Description: partial 16S ribosomal RNA
Rfam family: Bacterial small subunit ribosomal RNA
Source: RNAcentral
CCUACGGGAGGCAGCAGUGGGGGAUAUUGCACAAUGGGGGAAACCCUGAUGCAGCGACGCCGCGUGUGGGAAGACGGUCCUCUGGAUUGUAAACCACUGUCCCCAGGGACGAAGAUGACGGUACCUGGGGAGGAAGCUCCGGCUAACUACGUGCCAGCAGCCGCGGUAAUACGUAGGGAGCGAGCGUUGUCCGGAAUUACUGGGUGUAAAGGGAGCGUAGGCGGGCGAGAAAGUUGAAUGUUAAAUCUACCGGCUUAACUGGUAGCUGCGUUCAAAACUUCUUGUCUUGAGUGAAGUAGAGGCAGGCGGAAUUCCUAGUGUAGCGGUGAAAUGCGUAGAUAUUAGGAGGAACACCAGUGGCGAAGGCGGCCUGCUGGGCUUUAACUGACGCUGAGGCUCGAAAGCGUGGGGAGCAAACAGGAUUAGAUACCCCGGUAGUC